This 302-nucleotide ribosomal RNA is filed under the name uncultured fungus. Its description in RNAcentral is "eukaryotic LSU rRNA". The stretch from base 1 to 113 matches the Rfam family "5.8S ribosomal RNA", at positions 42 to 154 of the family's 154-position model. The record is from RNAcentral. Lineage: Eukaryota; Fungi.
AACGCAGCGAAGGGCGAUAAGUAAUGUGAAUUGCAGAAUUCAGUGAAUCAUCGAAUCUUUGAACGCACAUUGCGCCCCUUGGUAUUCCGAGGGGCAUGCCUGUUCGAGCGUCAUUUCAACCCUCAAGCUCUGCUUGGUAUUGGGCUACGCCAUCGCGGCAGGCCUUAAAAUUAGUGGCGGUGCCGUCUCGGCUCUAAGCGUAGUAACAAUCUCUCGCUCUGGAGACCUGGCGGUGCUUGCCAGACAACCACCAAUUUUUUAUGGUUGACCUCGGAUCAGGUAGGGAUACCCGCUGAACUUAA